RNAcentral lists this transfer RNA (74 nucleotides) under Firmicutes bacterium CAG:822. Its description in RNAcentral is "transfer RNA-Gly(TCC)". It matches the Rfam family "tRNA". Rfam says of the family: Transfer RNA (tRNA) molecules are approximately 80 nucleotides in length. Lineage: Bacteria; Bacillati; Bacillota. The record is from RNAcentral.
GCGGAUGUAGUUCAAUGGUAGAACCCCAGCCUUCCAAGCUGAUUACGGGAGUUCGAUUCUCCUCAUCCGCUCCA